Molecule: long non-coding RNA, 2052 nt
Filed under: Fukomys damarensis (Damara mole-rat)
Lineage: Eukaryota; Metazoa; Chordata; Mammalia; Rodentia; Bathyergidae
Description: lncRNA (ENSFDAG00000033290.1)
Source: RNAcentral
AUGGAAAGCCGUGAGUUUCUGGUUUUUUGUUUGUUUUUCCUUGUUUAUCUGGUUUUUUUUGUUUUUCCUUGUUUGUUUUGGUACUGGGGAUUCAUCUUGGGUCCUUGCGCUUGCGAGGCAGGCAGCGGAACCACUGUGCUAAAUUCCGGACCCGGGGUUUCUGUGUUCUUUUUUAAGGAGCUUUCUUCGUGCCCAGCCAGGGAGGAGGCCCAGAGUCGAUGCCUGGCAGGACCAAGGGACAGGCACCCCAAGCACAGAGGGCACACUUGGCAGGACACAGCAGGCUCCGAUGACCUGGGCCACAAAUGUCACCAGGACACCCCUCGCCACAGUAUCUCACUGGCUGGAAGUGGUGAAGUCUGAGGCAGCCACAAAAUUGGAGGAAACAGGCAGAAGGAAAGGUCUUUUGAGCCAUUCUUUGGGGCAAUGGUAUGAUGCAAAGCUACUUUUAAUUUGUUCCAUAUGAAUCAUGAAAACCAUGAGACAUUCGGGGGAUUUAUCAUAAAGCUAGAUGAGAUAAAUACUGUGUGCAUGCAGUAAAAAAAAAAAAUGGAAAAUAUGUAUUUAGUCCAAAAACUUCAUUUUAAAAAGGUUAACAUAAGGAAAUGAUUUCCUAAAGAGCCUCAAAGUCUGAGACAGGAAACUAACUCGGACGCAGACUAGACUGAGCAGUUGGGCUAUUUCCCUUGACUGGGACAGGGUUAAGGCGCCAGUUAUCUAAGCAGCAAGCUUAUUCCGGUCCUGCCGACCUUGCUUCCACUUUCUAGCUGUGCAACCUCGGGUGAGUUGCUGACCCUCUCUGGACUUUCAUUUCCGAUUCCACCAGAGCUAACUCCCAAAGCAAGUGGGAAGGACCGAGUGAGACAGCAGAGCCUGUUUGGUUGCUUUCAGUACUUUGGAAAAGUUUACUGUCAACCGAACUCCUUAAUGCCAUUUGGUCCUAUCACAAACUUCCUAGAUGCCGGAUGCCAAGACCCACAAAAAAGCAGUCAGAUGACAGACAAAAAAGCAGGGGCAGGUGACAGAGACGGGGAGGGAAAUACUUCUUGCUGUCACCCAUGACUCCCUGACACCCUCUCCCAGGACUCGGAAUUCAUAGUCCCGUCUUACCAUAGGGAACUGAGGCUCAUGGCAGCUGUGCUGGGGACAUAUAUUAUCCUCCUGAAUAAGUGAAGGCAGGAUUGGAACCUGACUCCUGAGCCCAGACCCUUGUGGCCCACAGGGGAGAUGGAAAAGACUGGCGGAGCUUGGGUGAGAGACACCCCUUGAGCUGAGAGGGAGGGGCUUAGGUGAGACACACCCCCUCAUCUGCAAGCAGGGGAGGGGACUGGGUGCGACAAGCCCCCGCUAUGGGGAAGGAGGGAAUUGAGUGGGAGACACCCCUAGGCAGGGAGAGGGACGGGUUUGGGUGAGACACGCCCUCUGGGCUGGAGAGGGAGGGGCUCCGGUAAGGUACGCCCCCUCAUCUGGGGAGGGCGGGGCUUACCUUGGAGACGCACUUGUCCCAUAGAAAGGUCUUGGGGACUGGAGGAGAAGGAGUCAGGGUCAGCAUUGUAAGCGUGGCUUGAGGAUUCCCAAGGCAAAGAGGAAGCAUCCAGGACACGGUAGGAAGAUCUGGACUGGGCUCAGCUCUGUCCAGGUAUGAAGAUGGGGCAUCUGGCAAGGUGACCAGUGGGGGGUGGCAUAUCAGGUCCUCCCUGGUGCUGGGGACAGGUAAGACCCAGAACACUGGCCUCAGGGUCCAUGGAAGAAGUCCAUGGCCCGAACAGGCAUUGCCUGUGACCAUGCCCAGCCCGACCAAGAAUAAGACGGCCCACGGUGUGCACCUGUAAUCACAAGAAUGGGAAGCUGAGGCAGGAGGAUCACAAGUUGGAGCUACAGCCUGAGCAAUUUAGAGACUUAGCAAGACUGUCUCUAAAAACUAAAAAAUAAGAACUGGGGUGUGAGCCACUGUGAAGGCCCUGGGUUCAACCCCUUAUACUGCAAAAAAUUAAAAAAGAGAACAAAAACGCAAGCCACAAGCCAAACAACACAGGAACAGCAAGUAGAGAC